Molecule: unclassified non-coding RNA, 240 nt
Filed under: soil metagenome
Description: partial contains 5.8S ribosomal RNA, internal transcribed spacer 2, and large subunit ribosomal RNA
Source: RNAcentral
AACUGAUACUACCUGCGGGAACCUGCGGAAGGAUCAUUGCUGGAACGCGCCCCAGGCGCACCCAGAAACCCUUUGUGAACUUAUACCUUACUGUUGCCUCGGCGCAUGCCGGCCCCCAGGGGCCCCUCGGAGACGAGGAGCAGGCACGCCGGCGGCCAACCUAACUCUUGUUUUUACACUGAAACUCUGAGAAAAAAAACAAAAUGAAUCAAAACUUUUAACAACGGAUCUCUAGAUCGG